GGAAGAAUAUUUGUUGACUAAAAUUUUAACGGCAUUCGAAUGAAGAGGGAGCGAAAUGAAAUGCGACGUAUGUCUGUGAACUUUAUAAUGGAUACGUAUAGCUUUUUGAUGCCCGGUGGUAACCAGCCUUCCAUGUGGCUGAACAGAUGCCAGUGUACCCAAAUUCUGAGGCACAAUUGGAUUUCCAAUACGAGAUGAUGUGCAGUUCAUGUUAGAUUUGCUAUUUCUACAGUUACAGUGAAGUAGAAGAGUCCGGUCGUGUUAUGGGGCAGCAGUUAAAGAAGAAGGACGGAGAGAUGUGUGCCCUGUUGAAGUAGCAGCUGGCCCUCCUGCCUGGCACUUCUAGAAUCCUCCAUCUCAAUCUCUGCUCUAAUCUGCUGUGCCUUUGCCAAGUGAUCACGAGUUUAUUGCAAUGGUGCCCCACUGCGUCUUCACUGUCUGUUACAUCAACUCCAACUGCCUAUGAUAGAAGAAAAGUUCACAAGACGUCCUAAAAUGGAAUUGUGAUUGGAGUGAGAUGGCCACAAUUAUGUAUGCUGGGAUGUGCAGGCUUUGGCUUGGGACCCCCAGAGGUUUAUUAUCUCCAGCAACCUUGAAAGCUGCAAGUUUGUCUUUGUCCUUGGCUAUUUGACCAGGCAGUGUAUUUAUUAUAAAGGACAAGGACCCCUCCAUUUGCUUCUUAUCUACUUUUAUAAUACCUUCAAUUUUCUUUGUAACUGUAUAUUUUUGUAGAGCAAUUUGAGCUACACUUGUAAGCAAAGGUGAUUAUAGAAAUAUUAUUAGUGAACAAAUGUUAAGGGACAGAUCAGGAAAAAUGUCAGUUUAAAUAGAACACAUUUUUUAUGGAAUAUUGCUGGAUAAUAACUCUGACUCGGAGUAGUAUCUUGUUCAUAAAGCUAAAAUAGCAUUUUUCCUUUUUUGACAAAUUUAAUGAUUCACUUUUAUUGUGUUCAAAACCUUGGCUAACAUUUUUAUUUAAUAUCAAGGUAAAAAUCUGUAAAUAUGUCUGUGUUCCCUUUCUCUAAUAGUUUUUAACACCUCCCCAUUGUUGGCCAUUUUCAUUGUAUUUGUGUUCUAGUUAAAUGCAUUUACCAUUUAUACAUCUUUAUGAUUACUGAAUUUUCUACUUGUAUAUAUAUUUGUGU
This is a long non-coding RNA of Erpetoichthys calabaricus (reedfish), 1145 nucleotides long. RefSeq lists it as uncharacterized. The record is from RefSeq and is a predicted model, not a curated record. NCBI's taxonomy places the organism in Eukaryota, Metazoa, Chordata, Cladistia, Polypteriformes, Polypteridae. The transcript has 4 exons.